Molecule: ribosomal RNA, 253 nt
Filed under: uncultured bacterium
Lineage: Bacteria
Description: partial 16S ribosomal RNA
Rfam family: Bacterial small subunit ribosomal RNA
Source: RNAcentral
UACGUAGGGGGCAAGCGUUGUCCGGAUUUAUUGGGCGUAAAGAGCGUGUAGGCGGUUUGGUAGGUCCGUUGUGAAAACUCGAGGCUCAACCUCGAGACGCCGAUGGAAACCAUCAGACUAGAGUCCGGAAGAGGAGAGUGGAAUUCCUGGUGUAGCGGUGAAAUGCGUAGAGAUCGGCAGGAACACCCAGGGGGAAACCAGUCGACUGGGCAGCACCUGACGCUGAGGUGCGAGAGCGUGGGGAGCGAACCGG